This 216-nucleotide ribosomal RNA is filed under the name Glomeromycotina sp. RNAcentral describes it as "partial small subunit ribosomal RNA". The stretch from base 40 to 216 matches the Rfam family "Eukaryotic small subunit ribosomal RNA", at positions 686 to 864 of the family's 1831-position model. Lineage: Eukaryota; Fungi; Glomeromycota. The record is from RNAcentral.
GGGUCAGUAGGUUGGUCGUGCCACCGGUACGUACUGGUCUCACUGAUUCCUCCUUCCUGAAGAACCGUAAUGCCAUUAAUUUGGUGUUGCGGGGAAACAGGACUGUUACUUUGAAAAAAUUAGAGUGUAUAAAGCAAGCUGACGCUUGAAUACAUUAGCAUGGAAUAAUGAAAUAGGACGAUCGAUCCUAUUUUGUUGGUUUCUAGGAUUGACGUA